Molecule: transfer RNA, 77 nt
Filed under: Desulfohalobium retbaense DSM 5692
Lineage: Bacteria; Pseudomonadati; Thermodesulfobacteriota; Desulfovibrionia; Desulfovibrionales; Desulfohalobiaceae
Also listed under: 2 other names
Description: tRNA-Glu (CTC) (tRNA-Glu-CTC-1-1)
Rfam family: tRNA
About the family: Transfer RNA (tRNA) molecules are approximately 80 nucleotides in length.
Source: RNAcentral
GUCCCCAUCGUCUAGCUGGCCCAGGACACCGGCCUCUCACGCCGGCGACAGGGGUUCAAAUCCCCUUGGGGACGCCA